This 234-nucleotide long non-coding RNA is filed under the name Elaeis guineensis (African oil palm). Its description in RNAcentral is "long non-coding RNA (EGUI_LNC014281)". The record is from RNAcentral. Lineage: Eukaryota; Viridiplantae; Streptophyta; Magnoliopsida; Arecales; Arecaceae.
UGUUAUAACAACUUUUAAUUGAGAUUGAAAUUUGAGGGAAGGCUAAUCCAAGCAUGAAAUUGGAUUGUAUUUGAUUGACGAAACCUAAGAGUAGCUUUGGGGAUAGAUUUUAGUUGGUGAGUUUGAAAAUCAAUUGAAUUUAGAUUAUGAGUCCGAAAAAUAAUCUUACUAUAACCUAUGUAGAUUAUAGUAGAAAUUUUCAAAGGAAUAUUUAAAAAAUGGACAUAAAUGCUG